AUGAACGCUGGCGGCGUGCCUAAUACAUGCAAGUCGAGCGAACGGACGAGAAGCUUGCUUCUCUGAUGUUAGCGGCGGACGGGUGAGUAACACGUGGAUAACCUACCUAUAAGACUGGGAUAACUUCGGGAAACCGGAGCUAAUACCGGAUGAUAUUUUGAACCGCAUGGUUCAAAAGUGAAAGACGGUCUUGCUGUCACUUAUAGAUGGAUCCGCGCUGCAUUAGCUAGUUGGUAAGGUAACGGCUUACCAAGGCAACGAUGCAUAGCCGACCUGAGAGGGUGAUCGGCCACACUGGAACUGAGCCACGGUCCAGACUCCUACGGGAGGCAGCAGUAGGGAAUCUUCCGCAAUGGGCGAAAGCCUGACGGAGCAACGCCGCGUGAGUGAUGAAGGUCUUCGGAUCGUAAAACUCUGUUAUUAGGGAAGAACAUAUGUGUAAGUAACUGUGCACAUCUUGACGGUACCUAAUCAGAAAGCCACGGCUAACUACGUG
This 496-nucleotide ribosomal RNA is filed under the name uncultured bacterium. RNAcentral describes it as "partial 16S ribosomal RNA". It matches the Rfam family "Bacterial small subunit ribosomal RNA", at positions 29 to 507 of the family's 1533-position model. The record is from RNAcentral.